GAUGAACGCUGGCGGCGUGCCUAAUACAUGCAAGUCGAGCGAACAGACGAGGAGCUUGCUCCUCUGACGUUAGCGGCGGACGGGUGGGUAACACGUGGAUAACCUACCUAUAAGACUGGGAUAACUUCGGGAAACCGGAGCUAAUACCGGAUAAUAUAUUGAACCGCAUGGUUCAAUAGUGAAAGACGGUUUUGCUGUCACUUAUAGAUGGAUCCGCGCCGCAUUAGCUAGUUGGUAAGGUAACGGCUUACCAAGGCGACGAUGCGUAGCCGACCUGAGAGGGUGAUCGGCCACACUGGAACUGAGACACGGUCCAGACUCCUACGGGAGGCAGCAGUAGGGAAUCUUCCGCAAUGGGCGAAAGCCUGACGGAGCAACGCCGCGUGAGUGAUGAAGGUCUUCGGAUCGUAAAACUCUGUUAUUAGGGAAGAACAAAUGUGUAAGUAACUAUGCACGUCUUGACGGUACCUAAUCAGAAAGCCACGGCUAACUACGU
This 496-nucleotide ribosomal RNA is filed under the name uncultured bacterium. Its description in RNAcentral is "partial 16S ribosomal RNA". It matches the Rfam family "Bacterial small subunit ribosomal RNA", at positions 28 to 506 of the family's 1533-position model. The record is from RNAcentral.